AGAACUUAGCAGNGAUGCUUUGGUGCCUUCGGGAACUCUGAGACAGGUGCUGCAUGGCUGUCGUCAGCUCGUGUUGUGAAAUGUUGGGUUAAGUCCCGCAACGAGCGCAACCCUUAUCCUUUGUUGCCAGCGGUCCGGCCGGGAACUCAAAGGAGACUGCCAGUGAUAAACUGGAGGAAGGUGGGGAUGACGUCAAGUCAUCAUGGCCCUUACGAGUAGGGCUACACACGUGCUACAAUGGCGCAUACAAAGAGAAGCGACCUCGCGAGAGCAAGCGGACCUCAUAAAGUGCGUCGUAGUCCGGAUUGGAGUCUGCAACUCGACUCCAUGAAGUCGGAAUCGCUAGUAAUCGUGGAUCAGAAUGCCACGGUGAAUACGUUCCCGGGCCUUGUACACACCGCCCGUCACACCAUGGGAGUGGGUUGCAAAAGAAGUAGGUAGCUUAACCUUCGGGAGGGCGCUUACCACUUUGUGAUUCAUGACUGGGGUGAAGUCGUAACAAGGUAAGCGUAGUGCU
RNAcentral lists this ribosomal RNA (517 nucleotides) under uncultured bacterium. RNAcentral's name for it is "bacterial SSU rRNA". It matches the Rfam family "Bacterial small subunit ribosomal RNA", at positions 992 to 1509 of the family's 1533-position model. The record is from RNAcentral.